ACAAAAACUUUUUAUAUUCAGUUAAGAGUAGCGUUCUCAUCACAUAUAUACAUCAUUGAGGGUAAAUGACUAUCACAUAUAUACAUCAUUGAGGGUAAAUGACGCUAGUUAUAAAACAAGGUAGUUUAAUGGGGGACAUAGAAUUGUUUAAGGGUUACAGCCUUUGAUGUAGAGGAGGCAGGACAUCACACUAUAUGAAAAGAGAUGCUGGAUCCAUUGAUGUCCACAGCCUCUACUUGUUCUUCCUUUCUCAAUGUCCUCAACUCAUGAAUUUGGUUUCCAUACUUCUUGGGGGUUCCUCCUUCCCAGAAGCACGACUGUGCUAUGUUUCAUCUAACUCCUCAUCAUCUUUUUCCGGAGGAUAGAUAAUGAAGAAGAAGAAACAACGAGUUAGAGGGAUUCUCUCCUUUCAAACUUUUUUGCAAAUAUGAAACUGCAAAACAUAGUGCAUGAAGGUGGAACAAAGGUAAGGGUUCAAGGUGGGUAUUAGCUAAAUAUGAGUUAGCCAUUCCGGAUCAACAAGUGGUAAGAAAAAAAGAAGUACUGAAUAAUAGGUUUCCCUGAUCUAAUUUCUAUAACAAAAAAAAAAAAUCAAUCAAAAUUAGGUCCCAAUAAAAUGGAGUUUAAAUCUUUCUAAUGUAACCUAGACAUGCAAAAAUUAUUUGGAGAAGAAGAGAUCCAAAAUCAGUGUUCCA
Brassica oleracea var. oleracea is the source of this 695-nucleotide long non-coding RNA. RefSeq lists it as uncharacterized. The record is from RefSeq and is a predicted model, not a curated record. The transcript has 2 exons. NCBI's taxonomy places the organism in Eukaryota, Viridiplantae, Streptophyta, Magnoliopsida, Brassicales, Brassicaceae.